Oryctolagus cuniculus (rabbit) is the source of this 1726-nucleotide non-coding RNA. The record is from RefSeq and is a predicted model, not a curated record. NCBI's taxonomy places the organism in Eukaryota, Metazoa, Chordata, Mammalia, Lagomorpha, Leporidae.
CUUUGGUGUGCCUCAGAGGCCCUCAAAGGCAGGAUCAGGAAUUUCUGGAUUGUAUGGAUUUCCAACAGUUCCUAUGAGGUUGCCUGAUUAGCUGCUGCCUCACUGAACCUUCCUCUGUGUACGUUGCUGCCAGUUUUUCUACCUAAGUCCGAUCCAUUUCCUGGAUUGAUCUUGAUACUUCAUCCAUGAAAAUACGUUUUCUUUCUGUAACAGAGAAAGAGAGACAACCAACUGGACAAGAGAGCUCACUCUGAUGAUCUACUUCCCAAAUGCCCACAACAGCUGGGAUUGAGCCUGGGUGAAGCCAGGAGUUUGGAAUACAAUCAAGGUUUUCAAUUUGGAUGUCCUUGUUACAGAUCUCUACGAUGAGAAUUACAAAAUCUUAAAGAAAGAAAUAGAAGAGGAUACCAAAAAAUGGAAAAAUCUUCCAUGCUCAUGGAUUGGAAGAAUCAACAUCAUCAAAAUGUCCAUUCUCCCAAAAGCAAUGUAUAGAUUCAAUGCAAUCCCAAUCAAGAUACCAAAGACAUUCUUCGCAGAUCUAGAAAAAAUGAUGCUGAAAUUCAUAUGGAGGCACAAGAGACCUCGAAUAGCUAAAGCAAUCUUGUACAACAAAAACAAAGCCGGAGGCAUCACAAUACCAGAUGUUAGGACAUACUACAGGGCAGUUGUAAUCAAAACAGCAUGGUACUGGUACAGAAACAGAUGGAUAGACCAAUGGAACAGAAUUGAAACACCAGAAAUCAACCCAAACAUCUAUAGCCAACUUAUAUUUGACCAAGUAUCUAAAACCAAUUCCUGGAGCAAGGACAGUCUAUUCAAUAAAUGGUGCUGGUAAAAAUGGAUUUCCACAUGCAGAAGCAUGAAGCAAGACCCCUACCUUACACCUUACACAAAAAUCCACUCAACGUGGAUUAAAGACCUAAAUCUACGUCCUGACACCAUCAAGUUAUUAGAGAACAUUGGAGAAACCCUUCAAGAUAUUGGCACAGGCAAAGAAUUUCUGGAAAAGACCCGGGAGGCACAGGCAGUCAAAGCCAAAAUCAACUAUUGGGAUUGCAUCAAAUUGAGAAGAUUCUGUACUGCAAAAGAAACAGUCAGGAGAGUGAAGAGACAACCGACAGAACGGGAAAAAAUAUUUGCAAACUAUGCAACAGAUAAAGGGUUAAUAACCAGAAUCUACAAAGAGAUCAAGAAACUCCACAAAAACAAAACCAACAACCCACUUAAGAGAUGGGCCAAGGACCUCAAUAGACAUUUUUCAAAAGAGGGAAUCCAAAUGGCCAACAGGCACAUGAAAAAAUGUUCAAGUUCACUAGCAAUCAGGGAAAUGCAAAUCAAAACCACGAUGAAGUUUCACCUCACCUCAGUUAGAGUGGCUCACAUACAGAAAUCUACCAACAACAGAUGCUGGCGAGGAUGUGGGGAAAAAGGGACACUAACCCACUGUUGGUGGGAAUGCAAACUGGUCAAGCCACUAUGGAAGUCAGUCUGGAGAUUCCUCAGAAACCUGAAGAUAACCCUACCGUUUGAUCCAGCCAUCCCACUCCUUGGAUUUUAAUCAAAGGAGUUCAAAUUGACAAACAAAAAAGCGGUCUGCACCCUAAUGUUUAUUGCAGCACAAUUCACAAUAGCCAAGACCUGGAACCAACCUAAAUGCCCAUCAACGGUAGACUGGACAAAGAAAUUAUGGGAUAUGUAUUCUUUAGAGUACUAUACUGCAGUAAGA